UACGUAGGGUGCAAGCGUUAAUCGGAAUUACUGGGCGUAAAGCGUGCGCAGGCGGUUCUGUAAGAUAGAUGUGAAAUCCCCGGGCUCAACCUGGGAAUUGCAUAUAUGACUGCAGGACUUGAGUUUGUCAGAGGAGGGUGGAAUUCCACGUGUAGCAGUGAAAUGCGUAGAUAUGUGGAAGAACACCGAUGGCGAAGGCAGCCCUCUGGGACAUGACUGACGCUCAUGCACGAAAGCGUGGGGAGCAAACAGG
Molecule: ribosomal RNA, 253 nt
Filed under: Sutterella wadsworthensis
Lineage: Bacteria; Pseudomonadati; Pseudomonadota; Betaproteobacteria; Burkholderiales; Sutterellaceae
Also listed under: 1 other name
Description: partial 16S ribosomal RNA
Rfam family: Bacterial small subunit ribosomal RNA
Source: RNAcentral